RNAcentral lists this ribosomal RNA (468 nucleotides) under uncultured bacterium. RNAcentral's name for it is "partial 16S ribosomal RNA". It matches the Rfam family "Bacterial small subunit ribosomal RNA", at positions 28 to 507 of the family's 1533-position model. The record is from RNAcentral.
GACGAACGCUGGCGGCGUGCUUAACACAUGCAAGUCGAACGGAAAGGCCCUGCUUUUGUGGGGUGCUCGAGUGGCGAACGGGUGAGUAACACGUGAGUAACCUGCCCUUGACUUUGGGAUAACUUCAGGAAACUGGGGCUAAUACCGGAUAGGAGCUCCUGCUGCAUGGUGGGGGUUGGAAAGUUUCGGCGGUUGGGGAUCGACUCGCGGCUUAUCAGCUUGUUGGUGGGGUAGUGGCUUACCAAGGCUUUGACGGGUAGCCGGCCUGUGAGGGUGACCGCCGACAGUGGGACUGCAAUACGGCCCAGACUCCUACAGGAGGCAGCAGUGGGAAAUAUAACACAAUGGGCGGAAGCCUGAUGAAAGAACGCCGCGUGCGGGAUGACGGCCUUCGGGUUGUAAACCGCUUUCGCCUGUGACGAAGCGUGAGUGACGGUAAUGGGUAAAGAAGCACCGGCUAACUACGUG